AGUGAACGCUGGCGGUAGGCCUAACACAUGCAAGUCGAACGGCAGCACAGUAAGAGCUUGCUCUUACGGGUGGCGAGUGGCGGACGGGUGAGGAAUACAUCGGAAUCUACUUUUUCGUGGGGGAUAACGUAGGGAAACUUACGCUAAUACCGCAUACGACCUACGGGUGAAAGCAGGGGAUCUUCGGACCUUGCGCGAUUGAAUGAGCCGAUGUCGGAUUAGCUAGUUGGCGGGGUAAAGGCCCACCAAGGCGACGAUCCGUAGCUGGUCUGAGAGGAUGGUCAGCCACACUGGAACUGAGACACUGUCCGGACUCCUACGGGAGGCAGCAGUGGGGAAUAUUGGACAAUGGGCGCAAGCCUGAUCCAGCCAUACCGCGUGGGUGAAGAAGGCCUUCGGGUUGUAAAGCCCUUUUGUUGGGAAAGAAAAGCAGCAGGUUAAUACCCCGCUGUUCUGACGGUACCCAAAGAAUAAGCACCGGCUAACUUCGUG
Molecule: ribosomal RNA, 492 nt
Filed under: uncultured bacterium
Lineage: Bacteria
Description: partial 16S ribosomal RNA
Rfam family: Bacterial small subunit ribosomal RNA
Source: RNAcentral